RNAcentral lists this ribosomal RNA (460 nucleotides) under uncultured bacterium. Its description in RNAcentral is "partial 16S ribosomal RNA". It matches the Rfam family "Bacterial small subunit ribosomal RNA", at positions 338 to 795 of the family's 1533-position model. The record is from RNAcentral.
CCUACGGGUGGCAGCAGUGAGGAAUAUUGGUCAAUGGGCGCUAGCCUGAACCAGCCAAGUAGCGUGAAGGAUGACUGCCCUAUGGGUUGUAAACUUCUUUUAUAUGGGAAUAAAAUGCAGUAUGUAUACUGCUUUGCGUGUACCUUAUGAAUAAGGAUCGGCUAACUCCGUGCCAGCAGCCGCGGUAAUACGGAGGAUCCGAGCGUUAUCCGGAUUUAUUGGGUUUAGAGGGAGCUAAGGCGGGUUGUUAAGUCAGUUGUGAAAGUUUGCGGCUCAACCGUAACAUUGCAGUUGAUACUGGCUUCCUUGAGUACAGUAGAGGUAGGCGGAAUGCGUGGUGUAGCGGUGCAAGGCUUAGAUAUCACGCAGAACUCCGAUUGCGAAGGCAGCCUACUGGACUGUAACUGACGCUGAUGCUCGAAAGUGUGGGUAUCAAACAGGAUUAGAUACCCGAGUAGUC